GAUGAACGCUGGCGGCGUGCUUAACACAUGCAAGUCGAACGAUGAUGCCCAGCUUGCUGGGUGGAUUAGUGGCGAACGGGUGAGUAACACGUGAGUAACCUGCCCUUGACUCUGGGAUAAGCCUGGGAAGCUGGGUCUAAUACCGGAUACGACCAUCUGGCGCAUGUCAUGGUGGUGGAAAGCUUUUGUGGUUUUGGAUGGACUCGCGGCCUAUCAGCUUGUUGGUGGGGUAAUGGCCUACCAAGGCGACGACGGGUAGCCGGCCUGAGAGGGUGACCGGCCACACUGGGACUGAGACACGGCCCAGACUCCUACGGGAGGCAGCAGUGGGGAAUAUUGCACAAUGGGCGCAAGCCUGAUGCAGCGACGCCGCGUGAGGGAUGACGGCCUUCGGGUUGUAAACCUCUUUCAGUAGGGAAGAAGCGAAAGUGACGGUACCUGCAGAAGAAGCGCCGGCUAACUACGUG
RNAcentral lists this ribosomal RNA (467 nucleotides) under uncultured bacterium. Its description in RNAcentral is "partial 16S ribosomal RNA". It matches the Rfam family "Bacterial small subunit ribosomal RNA", at positions 28 to 507 of the family's 1533-position model. The record is from RNAcentral.